This 465-nucleotide ribosomal RNA is filed under the name Vreelandella stevensii. Its description in RNAcentral is "partial 16S ribosomal RNA". It matches the Rfam family "Bacterial small subunit ribosomal RNA", at positions 338 to 795 of the family's 1533-position model. The record is from RNAcentral. Lineage: Bacteria; Pseudomonadati; Pseudomonadota; Gammaproteobacteria; Oceanospirillales; Halomonadaceae.
CCUACGGGGGGCUGCAGUGGGGAAUAUUGGACAAUGGGGGGAACCCUGAUCCAGCCAUGCCGCGUGUGUGAAGAAGGCCCUCGGGUUGUAAAGCACUUUCAGUGAGGAAGAACGCCUGGUGGUUAAUACCCAUCAGGAAAGACAUCACUCACAGAAGAAGCACCGGCUAACUCCGUGCCAGCAGCCGCGGUAAUACGGAGGGUGCGAGCGUUAAUCGGAAUUACUGGGCGUAAAGCGCGCGUAGGUGGCUUGAUAAGCCGGUUGUGAAAGCCCCGGGCUCAACCUGGGAACGGCAUCCGGAACUGUCAAGCUAGAGUGCAGGAGAGGAAGGUAGAAUUCCCGGUGUAGCGGUGAAAUGCGUAGAGAUCGGGAGGAAUACCAGUGGCGAAGGCGGCCUUCCGGACUGACACUGACACUGAGGUGCGAAAGCGUGGGUAGCAAACAGGAUUAGAUACCCGAGUAGUC